Molecule: ribosomal RNA, 459 nt
Filed under: uncultured bacterium
Lineage: Bacteria
Description: partial 16S ribosomal RNA
Rfam family: Bacterial small subunit ribosomal RNA
Source: RNAcentral
CCUACGGGGGGCAGCAGUGAGGAAUAUUGGUCAAUGGCCGGAAGGCUGAACCAGCCAAGCCGCGUGAAGGACGAAGGUGCCAAGCAUUGUAAACUUCUUUUGUCAAGGGACAAAAUCAGGCUCGAGCGCCUGACCGAGGGUACUUUAAGAAAAAGCAUCGGCUAACUCCGUGCCAGCAGCCGCGGUAAUACGGAGGAUGCGAGCGUUAUCCGGAUUUAUUGGGUUUAAAGGGUGCGUAGGCGGGCUGUUAAGUCAGCGGUAAAAGCCCGGGGCUCAACCCCGGCGAGCCGUUGAAACUGGCGGUCUUGAGAUGUCGAGAGGUAUGCGGAAUGCGCAGUGUAGCGGUGAAAUGCUUAGAUAUUGCGCAGAACUCCGAUUGCGAAGGCAGCAUACCGGCGGCGAUCUGACGCUGAGGCACGAAAGCGUGGGUAUCGAACAGGAUUAGAUACCCGGGUAGUC